Molecule: ribosomal RNA, 480 nt
Filed under: uncultured Proteiniphilum sp.
Lineage: Bacteria; Pseudomonadati; Bacteroidota; Bacteroidia; Bacteroidales; Dysgonomonadaceae
Description: bacterial SSU rRNA
Rfam family: Bacterial small subunit ribosomal RNA
Source: RNAcentral
UUAAAGGAAUUGACGGGGCCCGCACAAGCGGAGGAACAUGUGGUUUAAUUCGAUGAUACGCGAGGAACCUUACCCGGGCUUGGAAUGCAUCUGACCGGCCUUGAAAGAGGUUUUCCCUUCGGGGCAGAUGUGUAGGUGCUGCAUGGUUGUCGUCAGCUCGUGCCGUGAGGUGUCGGCUUAAGUGCCAUAACGAGCGCAACCCUCAUCAUUAGUUACCAUCAGGUAAGGCUGGGGACUCUAAUGAGACUGCCAUCGUAAGAUGUGAGGAAGGUGGGGAUGACGUCAAAUCAGCACGGCCCUUACGUCCGGGGCGACACACGUGUUACAAUGGGUGGUACAAAGGGCAGCUACCUGGCGACAGGAUGCUAAUCUCCAAAACCACUCUCAGUUCGGAUCGGAGUCUGCAACUCGACUCCGUGAAGCUGGAUUCGCUAGUAAUCGCGCAUCAGCCACGGCGCGGUGAAUACGUUCCCGGGCCUU